RNAcentral lists this microRNA precursor (59 nucleotides) under Limulus polyphemus (Atlantic horseshoe crab). Its description in RNAcentral is "Lpo-Mir-10-P1k-v1_pre stem-loop". The record is from RNAcentral. Lineage: Eukaryota; Metazoa; Arthropoda; Merostomata; Xiphosura; Limulidae.
ACCCUGUAGAUCCGAAUUUGUUUGGGAAUGUGACUACAAAUUCGGUUCUAGAGAGGUUU